GAAGUUUUUUCGGCCACAGGCAGGCUACCUUUAAGAAAAUGGAUAUCUUCCACAGCAUGCACAUCUGAAGCAGACCCCUUACUGACUGCACUCAGGCAAUCUUCAGCAUCAUUCUUCUUCUCUGUAACAAUUUCACAAGAAUCUAAGGUCACAGGCUGGUGUAAUUUAACAUCCUUGUGACCUUUAAAAUCUUCAUGCAUCCGCUCAGCAUGGUCUACAACAGUAAUAUCAGCUGGCACAGAAGGCUCAUAGACACGUUCAUUAUCUAAGGUCACAUGCUGACGUAAUUUUAAUCCCUUGUGACCUUUAAAACCUUCAAGCAUCAUCUCUGCAUGGUCUACCACGGGAAUAUCAGCUGGCACAGAAAGCUCAUAGACAUUUUCAUUCCCUCUUUCCUUUCCACUAAAACUCUCAUU
This 416-nucleotide long non-coding RNA is filed under the name Citrus maxima (pomelo). RNAcentral's name for it is "long non-coding RNA (CMAX_LNC003776)". The record is from RNAcentral. Lineage: Eukaryota; Viridiplantae; Streptophyta; Magnoliopsida; Sapindales; Rutaceae.